CAGGACGAACGCUGGCGACGUGCCUAACACAUGCAAGUCGAACGGAGUUGGGGAGCUUGCUCUUCAACUUAGUGGCGGACGGGUGAGUAACGCGUGGGUAACCUGCCUCUGAGAGGGGAAUAACGUUUUGAAAAGAACGCUAAUACCGCAUAACGUAUUGAAUCCGCAUGGAUAUGAUACCAAAGAUUUUAUCGCUCGGAGAUGGACUCGCGUCCGAUUAGUUAGUUGGUGAGGUAACGGCUCACCAAGACCGCGAUCGGUAGCCGGACUGAGAGGUUGAUCGGCCACAUUGGGACUGAGACACGGCCCAGACUCCUACGGGAGGCAGCAGUGGGGGAUAUUGCGCAAUGGGGGCAACCCUGACGCAGCAACGCCGCGUGAAGGAUGAAGGUUUUCGGAUUGUAAACUUCUUUUAUCAGGGACGAACAACGACGGUACCUGAUGAAUAAGCUCCGGCUAACUACGUGCCAGCCGCCGC
Molecule: ribosomal RNA, 478 nt
Filed under: uncultured bacterium
Lineage: Bacteria
Description: bacterial SSU rRNA
Rfam family: Bacterial small subunit ribosomal RNA
Source: RNAcentral